Molecule: ribosomal RNA, 465 nt
Filed under: uncultured Klebsiella sp.
Lineage: Bacteria; Pseudomonadati; Pseudomonadota; Gammaproteobacteria; Enterobacterales; Enterobacteriaceae
Description: bacterial SSU rRNA
Rfam family: Bacterial small subunit ribosomal RNA
Source: RNAcentral
CCUACGGGAGGCAGCAGUGGGGAAUAUUGCACAAUGGGCGCAAGCCUGAUGCAGCCAUGCCGCGUGUGUGAAGAAGGCCUUCGGGUUGUAAAGCACUUUCAGCGGGGAGGAAGGCGGUGAGGUUAAUAACCUCAUCGAUUGACGUUACCCGCAGAAGAAGCACCGGCUAACUCCGUGCCAGCAGCCGCGGUAAUACGGAGGGUGCAAGCGUUAAUCGGAAUUACUGGGCGUAAAGCGCACGCAGGCGGUCUGUCAAGUCGGAUGUGAAAUCCCCGGGCUCAACCUGGGAACUGCAUUCGAAACUGGCAGGCUAGAAGCUUGGAGAGGGGGGUAGAAUUCCAGGUGUAGCGGUGAAAUGCGUAGAGAUCUGGAGGAAUACCGGUGGCGAAGGCGGCCCCCUGGACAAAGACUGACGCUCAGGUGCGAAAGCGUGGGGAGCAAACCGGAUUAGAUACCCCGGUAGUC